Molecule: ribosomal RNA, 447 nt
Filed under: uncultured soil bacterium
Lineage: Bacteria
Description: bacterial SSU rRNA
Rfam family: Bacterial small subunit ribosomal RNA
Source: RNAcentral
AGAACGAACGCUGGCGGCAUGCCUAAUACAUGCAAGUCGAACGAACACUUCGGUGUUAGUGGCGCACGGGUGCGUAACGCGUGGGAAUCUGCCCUUGGGUUCGGAAUAACAGUUGGAAACGACUGCUAAUACCGGAUGAUAUCGAAAGAUCAAAGAUUUAUCGCCCAGGGAUGAGCCCGCGUAGGAUUAGCUAGUUGGUGAGGUAAAGGCUCACCAAGGCGACGAUCCUUAGCUGGUCUGAGAGGAUGAUCAGCCACACUGGGACUGAGACACGGCCCAGACUCCUACGGGAGGCAGCAGUAGGGAAUAUUGGACAAUGGGCGCAAGCCUGAUCCAGCAAUGCCGCGUGAGUGAUGAAGGCCUUAGGGUUGUAAAGCUCUUUUACCCGAGAUGAUAAUGACAGUAUCGGAGAAUAAGCCCCCGGCUAACUCCGCGCCAAGCAGCCGC